UGGGGAAUCUUGGACAAUGGGGGCAACCCUGAUCCAGCCAUGCCGCGUGAGUGAUGAAGGCCUUAGGGUCGUAAAGCUCUUUCGCCUGUGAAGAUAAUGACGGUAGCAGGUAAAGAAACCCCGGCUAACUCCGUGCCAGCAGCCGCGGUAAUACGGAGGGGGUUAGCGUUGUUCGGAAUUACUGGGCGUAAAGCGCACGUAGGCGGACCAGAAAGUUGGGGGUGAAAUCCCGGGGGCUCAACCCCGGAACUGCCUCCAAAACUAUUGGUCAAGAGUUCGAGAGAGGUGAGUGGAAUUCCAAGUGUAGAGGUGAAAUUCGUAGAUAUUUGGAGGAACACCAGUGGCGAAGGCGGCUCACUGGCUCGAUACUGACGCUGAGGUGCGAAAGUGUGGGGAGCAAACAGGAUUAGAUACCC
RNAcentral lists this ribosomal RNA (416 nucleotides) under uncultured bacterium. RNAcentral's name for it is "bacterial SSU rRNA". It matches the Rfam family "Bacterial small subunit ribosomal RNA", at positions 355 to 787 of the family's 1533-position model. The record is from RNAcentral.